CGACGGCGGUGGGGUUUGGAGAUGCAUUAGUCUCAACAGCAGGGGUGGUGGCGAUGGUGGUGGGGCUAAGAGGUGCAGUAGCCUAAACGGCAAGUUCGGCAGCAGUGGGGCCUAGCAACAUAGUAACAGCGGCAGCGACGACUUUGGGGCUGGGAGGUGCAGUAACCUCACACAGCAGGCGCGGUGGCGGCAGGGCCUAGCAACGCAGCAGCAGCGGCAUCAAUGGCAGUGGAACUGGGAGGUGCUGCUGCGUUGCUAUUUCCCGCCGCCGCCGCGCCUGCGGUUGAGACUAACGCACCUCCCACAUGUUUUAGCUAGUUACAUCAACAAUGCUGUGCCUGUGGGAC
RNAcentral lists this long non-coding RNA (347 nucleotides) under Volvox carteri. RNAcentral describes it as "long non-coding RNA (VCAR_LNC003687)". Lineage: Eukaryota; Viridiplantae; Chlorophyta; Chlorophyceae; Chlamydomonadales; Volvocaceae. The record is from RNAcentral.